AUGCCUGUAGCGCAAUGGAUAGCGCGUUGGACAUAUAACUCAAAGGUCGUGGGUUUGAAUCCCACCUGGGAUG
Non-coding RNA from Trichonephila clavata, 73 nucleotides. NCBI's taxonomy places the organism in Eukaryota, Metazoa, Arthropoda, Arachnida, Araneae, Nephilidae. The record is from the annotation of a GenBank genome assembly.